GCACAAGCAGGAAGAGGGGCAGACAGAGGGAGAGGGAGAAGCAGGUUCCCUGCAGAACAAAGGAACCUGAUGUGGGACUCGAUCCCAGGACCCCAAGAUCAUGACCUGAGCCAAAGGCAGUCACCCAACCUACUGAGCCAUCCAGAUCUGCCAGUGAUUCCCAUGGGGCAAAACAGAACUUCUCAAAAGGCCUGAGCAUAUGGAUUAUUUGACAGAGAGAGAGACAGCGAGAGGGAACACAAGCAGGUGGAGUGGGAGAGGGAGAAGCAGGCUUCCCGCAGAGCAGAGAGCCCAAUGCGGGGCUUGGUCUCAGGACCCUGGGAUCAUGACCUGAGCUGAAGGCAGAAGCUUAACGACUGAGCCAUCCAGGCGCCCCAGA
This is a long non-coding RNA of Mirounga angustirostris (Northern elephant seal), 379 nucleotides long. RefSeq lists it as uncharacterized. The transcript has 3 exons. The record is from RefSeq and is a predicted model, not a curated record. Lineage: Eukaryota; Metazoa; Chordata; Mammalia; Carnivora; Phocidae.